UAUUUCAUUGAGACUUCGGUGGAUUUGAUCUAUUUCUAGUGGCGGACGGGUGAGUAACGCGUGGGUAACCUGCCUUAUACAGGGGGAUAACAGUCAGAAAUGGCUGCUAAUACCGCAUAAGCGCACAGAGCUGCAUGGCUCAGUGUGAAAAACUCCGGUGGUAUAAGAUGGACCCGCGUUGGAUUAGCUAGUUGGUGGGGUAACGGCCCACCAAGGCGACGAUCCAUAGCCGGCCUGAGAGGGUGAACGGCCACAUUGGGACUGAGACACGGCCCAGACUCCUACGGGAGGCAGCAGUGGGGAAUAUUGCACAAUGGGGGAAACCCUGAUGCAGCGACGCCGCGUGAAGGAAGAAGUAUCUCGGUAUGUAAACUUCUAUCAGCAGGGAAGAUAGUGACGGUACCUGACUAAGAAGCCCCGGCUAACUACGUGCCAGCAGCCGCGGUAAUACGUAGGGGGCAAGCGUUAUCCGGAUUUACUGGGUGUAAAGGGAGCGUAGACGGUGUGGCAAGUCUGAUGUGAAAGGCAUGGGCUCAACCUGUGGACUGCAUUGGAAACUGUCAUACUUGAGUGCCGGAGGGGUAAGCGGAAUUCCUAGUGUAGCGGUGAAAUGCGUAGAUAUUAGGAGGAACACCAGUGGCGAAGGCGGCUUACU
Molecule: ribosomal RNA, 655 nt
Filed under: uncultured Lachnospiraceae bacterium
Lineage: Bacteria; Bacillati; Bacillota; Clostridia; Lachnospirales; Lachnospiraceae
Description: bacterial SSU rRNA
Rfam family: Bacterial small subunit ribosomal RNA
Source: RNAcentral